GUUUGAGUGGCAGAGCCCGGAUACUGUAAAAGCAUUAAACCCUUUCCAUGAAGGUUCAAAUCCUUCCUCUAACU
This 74-nucleotide transfer RNA is filed under the name Pelvicachromis pulcher (rainbow krib). Its description in RNAcentral is "tRNA-Leu". It matches the Rfam family "tRNA". From Rfam's summary of the family: Transfer RNA (tRNA) molecules are approximately 80 nucleotides in length. Their secondary structure includes four short double-helical elements and three loops (D, anti-codon, and T loops). Lineage: Eukaryota; Metazoa; Chordata; Actinopteri; Cichliformes; Cichlidae. The record is from RNAcentral.